AUGGGUAACAACUUUAGUCUCUUCAUCCUGGUUCUAUGCAUUCUACAUCUUAUCCAUGGCAUACUUGGAGGUAGACCCCAUGCUGGCAAUCAGGAGGAGCUUGGUGUCUCUGGUGGCAACUUAAAGCCAAUCAACCUGAAGAUGGAUGGUUUGGAUCCACCUCCUGCAAAUGUGUCAACGUUCCCUAAUUAUGGCGUCAGAACUUCCUAUGAUGCAGCAUAUAAAACAAAUGUGGCGCGGGAUUACUAUGGGAUUGAAGCUACAAUCGACGUACAUGGUCUCUCUUUGCGUCAAGAUCAACACAGUGGAGCUGCCUUGAUUAUUAAGUAUUCGAAAGCGUUCGAUCGUAACAUGAUUGUUGUUGGAUGGCAUGACAAAGCAACGGGAGACUGGCUUGUGCACUGUGGAUUCGGGUCGAAGCCAAAGUUAAUCGGGCGUUUCCCCAAGACCUUGUUCGCCACCUUGGCCGACAAGGCGGAUGAGAUACAAGCCCGAGGUUUUGUGCUGACUCAAGCUAGUCCUUUGGCCCCGAUGGGGAGCGGUUUCCGUCCCAGCAACGUGAAAGCCGCGUCAUUCAGCAAUAUCAUGUUUCUGGAUCAAGAUGGCAAGAGGUUUGGAGUCCCGCAAGAUUUCACGCCCUACAUGACGAACGAUAAGGUGUACGCCGUGUCUCAGAUCAGCCCCAACGGCGGGUUCAUGUAUGGUGGGCCGUCUGAAUGA
RNAcentral lists this ribosomal RNA (720 nucleotides) under Triticum aestivum (bread wheat). RNAcentral describes it as "partial small subunit ribosomal RNA". Lineage: Eukaryota; Viridiplantae; Streptophyta; Magnoliopsida; Poales; Poaceae. The record is from RNAcentral.